ACGCUAGCUACAGGCUUAACACAUGCAAGUCGUGGGGCAGCGGAUGCUUAGCUUGCUAAGUAUGCCGGCGACCGGCGCACGGGUGAGUAACGCGUACCGAACCUGCCCAUCACACAGGGAUAGGCUUGCGAAAGCAAGAUUAAUACCUGAUGGUCUCAGUUGUAUGCAUGUAUGAUUGAGUAAAGCCUUCGGGCGGUGAUGGAUGGCGGUGCGUCCCAUUAGGAAGUUGGCGGGGUAACGGCCCACCAAUCCUUCGAUGGGUAGGGGUUCUGAGAGGAAGGUCCCCCACAUUGGAACUGAGAUACGGUCCAAACUCCUACGGGAGGCAGCAGUGAGGAAUAUUGGUCAAUGGGCGGGAGCCUGAACCAGCCAAGUAGCGUGCGGGAUGAAGGCCCUUGUGGUCGUAAACCGCUUUUAUCAGUGAAUAAAGUGCACCACGUGUGGUGUCAUUGCAGGUAGCUGAAGAAAAAGGACCGGCUAAUUCCGUGCCAGCAGCCGCGGUAAUACGGAAGGUCCGGGCGUUAUCCGGAAUUAUUGGGUUUAAAGGGAGCGCAGGCGGGAGUGUAAGUCAGCUGUUAAAUAUCAGGGCCCAACUCUGUUAUGCAGUUGAAACUAUAUUUCUUGAGUACGCACAGGGAUGGCGGAAUUCAGGGUGUAGCGGUGAAAUGCUUAGAUAUCCUGAAGAACUCCGAUCGCGAAGGCAGCCAUCCGGAGCGUAACUGACGCUGAGGCUCGAAGGUGCGGGUAUCGAACAGGAUUAGAUACCCUGGUAGUCCGCACGGUAAACGAUGAAUACUCGCAGUUCGGUCAUUAAGAUUGAGUUGUCCAGCGAAAGCGUUAAGUAUUCCACCUGGGGAGUACGCCGGCAACGGUGAAACUCAAAGGAAUAGACGGGGGCCCGC
This 902-nucleotide ribosomal RNA is filed under the name uncultured bacterium. RNAcentral's name for it is "bacterial SSU rRNA". It matches the Rfam family "Bacterial small subunit ribosomal RNA", at positions 33 to 924 of the family's 1533-position model. The record is from RNAcentral.